GUUGUGUCCCACUUCUUAAAUCUCUUCUCAUCUCUGUCUAGACCUGCUGACUUUCCUUGUCAUCUUAUUUCAUGGCUUUAAUUACUACCUACGUGUCUCCAUUUCCCCUGGAGUCUCCUCCCCCAAACUCUAGAAUCCUGCAUUCAAUUGUUUCCUCAACUGUCUGCUGGGACAUUGAACAGACAUGUCCACCUUCGUAUGUCCAAAAGUGACUUCUGAGCUCCCCCAAAGGUUCUCCCCCUGCAGUCCUCACACCUCAGGAGUUUAUUAUCACCUCAUCCCCCUGGUGCAAUGGACAGCAGAGGAAUUGUCUUCCACUGGUGAGGUCUCUCCUGUGUGUGUGGUUUUGCAUAGGAAGGGGGUGUGUUGUAUCUAAGCAUUAAGCAGCUUUUUUUUAAUAUUCAGAAUUGACUUUUAAAGACUCAUUUUUCCUGAGGAGGAAGCUUAAAAGAGGACAAAGAGGAAAGAAAAGGAGUCAGGAAUGGCUCUCACUCAGGGAUGCUUGACAUUCGUGGAUGUGGCAAUAGAAUUCUCUCAGGAGGAGUGGAAAAGCCUGGACUCUGCUCAAAGGGCUUUAUACAGGGAUGUGAUGUUGGAGAACUACAGGAACCUGGUCUCCCUGGCAGGAAUAUCUCUUCCUGACCUGAGUGUUAUCUCUACUUUGGAGCAAGGGAAAGAGCCAUGGACUGCGGGGAGCCAAGUGAAAAUAGCAAGAAAAUCAAAUGGGUAGGAAUGGACCAAAAGUGUCA
Galeopterus variegatus (Sunda flying lemur) is the source of this 749-nucleotide long non-coding RNA. RefSeq lists it as uncharacterized. NCBI's taxonomy places the organism in Eukaryota, Metazoa, Chordata, Mammalia, Dermoptera, Cynocephalidae. The record is from RefSeq and is a predicted model, not a curated record. The transcript is spliced from 4 exons.